UUUGGUGUAGAUUCCCUCCGCUCCAGCAGCACCUCUUUUGGAUCAUGUCACACAAAAGCAGGCAUGGACCGCAUGACCAGAAAGCAAGGCAUAUAUGCUGCCAGCGUCGAUGGGUGAUCCGGCUGUGACUGCCAUUUAAUUGUGCAUCCCAGUCCCACGCUUCAGUGCGACUUCGAUCUUCUUCUCCCUUUGUUUUUCAAUCUCAGGUGAUCUUGACACGGUAUGUUUUUUGAGAGAAAAGACUGUUGAUUCCAUCAUUUGAUUAGAUAGCAAGAAAUAAUUGUACAAAGGACGCAAAGCAAGGGCCCUUGGGAAGAAGAGCGGGAAGAAAAAUAAAUAAAUAAAAAGCAAGCGAAAGAACCCUAAUCUUCCGGGUCCGAGACACGGUAUGUUUUGGUAUUGCGGUAGACACUUAACAAAUAAUAUCGUCAUAUCCAUCGAAAUCUAGUUUUUAAAACCUUCAUGAAAACGGUUAUGUACCAAAACCUUAUUGCCUUCAAAACGCAUACGUCGUCGAUCUCGCAAGCUAAUUGACAAACCCACAAAACUGCGUUGGAGAGAGGUUUGAAGCACUUGCUCUUGUUUCCACAAAUAAGAUACAAUACCAAAAACAGAACCAUUAUUCUAAUCUUACAUGCAGAGGCCAGGGGUUUUUCCUCCUUUUAGAAAAAAUAAAAAGAAAAAUUCUAAUCUUACAAAGUUGCUUCUAUAUCUCGACGCAUUAGCAUUUUCUUCAUAUUAUUAUUUUUCCAUUCUUGAUGGAGCACGAACAUAAUUUUGUUAAGGACUGUGUGUGUUGGAUC
Molecule: long non-coding RNA, 803 nt
Filed under: Brachypodium distachyon (stiff brome)
Lineage: Eukaryota; Viridiplantae; Streptophyta; Magnoliopsida; Poales; Poaceae
Description: long non-coding RNA (BDIS_LNC003318)
Source: RNAcentral